This 69-nucleotide transfer RNA is filed under the name Heterocephalus glaber (naked mole-rat). It matches the Rfam family "tRNA". From Rfam's summary of the family: Transfer RNA (tRNA) molecules are approximately 80 nucleotides in length. Their secondary structure includes four short double-helical elements and three loops (D, anti-codon, and T loops). Further hydrogen bonds mediate the characteristic L-shaped molecular structure. tRNAs have two regions of fundamental functional importance: the anti-codon, which is responsible for specific mRNA codon recognition, and the 3' end, to which the tRNAs corresponding amino acid is attached (by aminoacyl-tRNA synthetases). tRNAs cope with the degeneracy of the genetic code in two manners: having more than one tRNA (with a specific anti-codon) for a particular amino acid; and 'wobble' base-pairing, i.e. permitting non-standard base-pairing at the 3rd anti-codon position. Lineage: Eukaryota; Metazoa; Chordata; Mammalia; Rodentia; Bathyergidae. The record is from Rfam by way of RNAcentral.
GCUGUUAGCUCAGUGGUAGAGUGCCUGCCUAGUAAACAGAAGGCCAUGGGUUCAAUUCCCAGAACUGCA